This is a long non-coding RNA of Triticum dicoccoides, 361 nucleotides long. RefSeq lists it as uncharacterized. Lineage: Eukaryota; Viridiplantae; Streptophyta; Magnoliopsida; Poales; Poaceae. The transcript is spliced from 2 exons. The record is from RefSeq and is a predicted model, not a curated record.
UUUUCUGGCUGAUUGAGAUUGACAUGAAGAAGGAAGUGCUGGGGUCAACCAGUCUCUACAUCUUUGAAGAAGAAGAAGAAGAGAAAUGCUCCAUUGACAUGGCCCACUGGAGAUCAUUUCCUGGCUACUCCUUUGUUCCCAGCCCGUUCACCCGAUACUUGGACCAGCAUGCCAUCAGAAGUCUGGAACUCAGCGAGAAGUUACAGAAUAUAAGACUUGAGCAAGCUAAAGAAAAGAUAUUUGUUGAAGAGUGAAGAGCUUAUGCUAGGAAUUGUUCGGCAGAUAGAAGAAACCAGGAAUACUUUUUAGUAUUGGUCUGUCUUGUCUUAAUUUUUUAUUCUGGGUGCAUUGGAAAAGCUUA